This 236-nucleotide ribosomal RNA is filed under the name uncultured bacterium. Its description in RNAcentral is "partial 16S ribosomal RNA". It matches the Rfam family "Bacterial small subunit ribosomal RNA", at positions 333 to 566 of the family's 1533-position model. The record is from RNAcentral.
AGUACCCUACGGGGCGCAGCAGUGAGGAAUAUUGGUCAAUGGUCGGGAGACUGAACCAGCCAAGCCGCGUGAGGGAUGAAGGUACAGAGUAUCGUAAACCUCUUUUGUCAGGGAACAAAGGCGGGGACGUGUCCCCGGAUGAGUGUACCUGAAGAAAAAGCAUCGGCUAACUUCGUGCCAGCAGCCGCGGUAAUACGGAGGAUGCGAGCGUUAUUCGGAUUUAUUGGGCGUAAAGG